CACCCCAGGCACUUCACUGUCAAGCAAGGAGAGAGGCACUUCACUGCCAAGCAAGGAGAAGAGAAAUAUACUGUCUGACUAGCACAGUUUUUCUCACCUUUUGUUGCCGACAUCAGUGAGGGGAGAAUGCAAGCAAGAAUGAGAGAAAGAAGGAACAGAGCUAGAGAUGAGGACGUGGAGGAAUCCAGAUGGGAAUGAGAUUG
This is a non-coding RNA of Podarcis lilfordi (Lilford's wall lizard), 203 nucleotides long. Lineage: Eukaryota; Metazoa; Chordata; Lepidosauria; Squamata; Lacertidae. The record is from the annotation of a GenBank genome assembly.